GAGAGGUCACACCCGUUCCCAUGCCGAACACGGUAGUUAAGCUCUCCAGCGCCGAUGGUAGUUGGGGGUUUCCCCCUGUGAGAGUAGGACGUUGCCGGGC
This 100-nucleotide ribosomal RNA is filed under the name Evansella vedderi. The record is from RNAcentral. Lineage: Bacteria; Bacillati; Bacillota; Bacilli; Caryophanales; Bacillaceae.